UAGGGAAUAUUGGACAAUGGGGGCAACCCUGAUCCAGCCAUGCCGCGUGAGUGAAGAAGGCCCUCGGGUUGUAAAGCUCUUUUGUCCGGGAAGAAAAGCUUCGGGUUAAUACCCCGGGGUUCUGACGGUACCGGAAGAAUAAGCACCGGCUAGCUUCGUGCCAGCAGCCGCGGUAAUACGAAGGGUGCAAGCGUUACUCGGAAUUACUGGGCGUAAAGCGUGCGUAGGUGGGUGUUUAAGUCUGAUGUGAAAGCCCUGGGCUCAACCUGGGAAUGGCAUUGGAAACUGGGCAGCUAGAGUGCGGUAGAGGGUAGUGGAAUUCCCGGUGUAGCAGUGAAAUGCGUAGAGAUCGGGAGGAACAUCUGUGGCGAAGGCGACUGCCUGGACCAGCACUGACACUGAGGCACGAAAGCGUGGGGA
RNAcentral lists this ribosomal RNA (420 nucleotides) under uncultured bacterium. RNAcentral describes it as "bacterial SSU rRNA". It matches the Rfam family "Bacterial small subunit ribosomal RNA", at positions 355 to 767 of the family's 1533-position model. The record is from RNAcentral.